Molecule: long non-coding RNA, 880 nt
Filed under: Monodelphis domestica (gray short-tailed opossum)
Lineage: Eukaryota; Metazoa; Chordata; Mammalia; Didelphimorphia; Didelphidae
Description: lncRNA (ENSMODG00000046945.1)
Source: RNAcentral
UCAUACUCCUGUGAAUGUUGCUGCCUCUCAACAAAUGCCUUUGCCUUUAUGCUAUUCAGGGUCAAAUGAGGCAGUUGAGACUUCUGAAGGAGCACAACGGGAACAAAAUUGUCCCAGUCUAGCUACUUCUGAGUCAAAUCGGCCAAUCUUUAACAGCUUUGAUGGACAUCCUGCUGCAAUAAACUUGCUAAGUUGGUUGUCACCAGCCAGAGGUGGGCAUUGGCUCAGUCCCUGUGUGAGUUUGGCCAUGCAUUGCCAACUAGAGAUGCCAACAUGAAUGCAGAGAGCCCAACGUAGAGAGCCUGCGUUCCAGACACCAUGGUGAUCCCUUUGAGUCAGGAUUAUAUGAAGUUAGCAUAGCAGAGUUUGAUCCUUCUUCCUGAGAAUGUGUCAUUUCUGGAGGUAUAUUUUGUAUCUUUUAGUCAAUUUUGCCUUACCAGAUGGACCACAGAUGACUGGCAACGAGACCUUUUGUUGAGUGAGUGACCCCACUGUUAAGGGAAUGACUGCAUUUUGAGCUCCGCCAUGGAGAACACUAUCCAGCUGCAUGUACCAUUGACUCCUGGGCUCCUCCUGGGAAAGUACUAUUAUAGAAGUACGAGAAUCCAGAAAUAAUGAAUAGAUUCCCAGAGUUUUCCAGUUUGCGCUGUCUUUUUGGAAGCUUCUUGAAAAAUCAGAGUCAAGGGCAAGUUCAAUUUCUGGGUGCUGAUCCCUCGGUGCCCCGUCACUCAUAAUGUCUUGUCUCUGAGACUUCUAUAUUAGCUGUGUAAGAUUAAAAAUUAAUAUACAAAUAUCCCAUGUAUUCUAUUUAAUAAGAUUUAUUAAUAAUAAUUACUUGAAGUAAAGGAAAAUAAAAGCUAGAGCAAAGAGGGAUUUAACA